UGGCUCAAUGGUAGAGCGUUCGACUCAAAUACUAAAGAUCGUGGGUUCGAAUCCCAG
This 57-nucleotide transfer RNA is filed under the name Schistocephalus solidus. It matches the Rfam family "tRNA", at positions 8 to 63 of the family's 71-position model. From Rfam's summary of the family: Transfer RNA (tRNA) molecules are approximately 80 nucleotides in length. Their secondary structure includes four short double-helical elements and three loops (D, anti-codon, and T loops). Lineage: Eukaryota; Metazoa; Platyhelminthes; Cestoda; Diphyllobothriidea; Diphyllobothriidae. The record is from Rfam by way of RNAcentral.